RNAcentral lists this ribosomal RNA (447 nucleotides) under uncultured bacterium. RNAcentral describes it as "SSU rRNA". It matches the Rfam family "Bacterial small subunit ribosomal RNA", at positions 26 to 518 of the family's 1533-position model. The record is from RNAcentral.
AGAGCGAACGCUGGCGGCAGGCCUAACACAUGCAAGUCGAGCGCCCGUAGCAAUACGGGAGCGGCAGACGGGAUAGUAACACGUGGGAACGCGCCCUUCGGUUCGGAAUAACUCAGGGAAACUUGAGCUAAUACCGGAUACGCCCUUACGGGGAAAGAUUUAUUGCCGAAGGAACGGCCCGCGUCCGAUUAGCUAGUUGGUGAGGUAAUGGCUCACCAAGGCGACGAUCGGUAGCUGGUCUGAGAGGAUGACCAGCAUCACUGGGACUGAGACACGGCCCAGACUCCUACGGGAGGCAGCAGUGGGGAAUAUUGGACAAUGGGCGCAAGCCUGAUCCAGCCAUGCCGCGUGGAUGAUGAAGGCCUUAGGGUGUAAAGUCCUUUUAACGGGGAAGAUAAUGACGGUACCCGUAGAAUAAGCCCCGGCUAACUUCGCGCCAGCAGCCGC